GUGGGCCCCUCACAGCCGCCAUGGCGGGGGGGCGCCCCCCCCAGCCGCCAUGGCGGGCGCGCCGGGCCCGCUCGCCACGCACGGCGUAACCAUGGCAACACAUCCGGGGUUCCUGGUUCCGCCCCGUGCCGGCGCGUGCGUCUGACGUCACAUCCGGUAUCGCCAGGUAGGGGGCGGGUGGGGCACGGCGCGCGGAACGGACACGCCCCCCCCGGCGCGCGGCCCCGUGUGGGGCGGGGGGUCCCGCUCCUAGUCCCGAUUCCGAUCCCACUCCUAGGCUCGGUCCCGCUCCUAGUCCCGAUUCCGAUCCCACUCCUAGGCUCGGUCCCGCUCCUAGUCCCGAUUCCGAUCCCACUCCUAGGCUCGGUCCCGCUCCUAGUCCCGAUUCCGAUCCCACUCCUAGGCUCGGUCCCGCUCCUAGUCCCGAUUCCGAUCCCACUCCUAGGCUCGGUCCCGCUCCUAGUCCCGAUUCCGAUCCCACUCCUAGGCUCGGUCCCGCUCCUAGUCCCGAUUCCGAUCCCACUCCUAGGCUCGGUCCCGCUCCUAGUCCCGAUUCCGAUCCCACUCCUAGGCUCGGUCCCGCUCCUAGUCCCGAUUCCGAUCCCACUCCUAGGCUCGGUCCCGCUCCUAGUCCCGAUUCCGAUCCCACUCCUAGGCUCGGUCCCGCUCCUAGUCCCGAUUCCGAUCCCACUCCUAGGCUCGGUCCCGCUCCUAGUCCCGAUUCCGAUCCCACUCCUAGGCUCGGUCCCGCUCCUAGUCCCGAUUCCGAUCCCACUCCUAGGCUCGGUCCCGCUCCUAGUCCCGAUUCCGAUCCCACUCCUAGGCUUGGUCCCGCUCCUAGUCCCGAUUCCGGUCCCGGUCUUAGUCCUGAUCGUAGUCACGAUCCCGGUCCUAGUCUUCCUCGUCGUGGUCCUGGUCCCGAUCCCAAUUCCGGUCCUAGUGCUGGUUCCCGUCCGUGUUCCCGGUCCCGGUCCGCGGUGCCGUCACCCCUGUACCGCUGAGGGGGUGUGGGGGAGGCCUCGGGGGGCUGGGGUUGGUGCUCCCCAAGAACACUCCAGGCUGGAUGCAGGGUGUGUGGUGGGGCUCAGUGACCCUCAGAGGGCCAUGUGA
This 1110-nucleotide long non-coding RNA is filed under the name Ficedula albicollis (Collared flycatcher). RNAcentral's name for it is "lncRNA (ENSFALG00000023464.1)". The record is from RNAcentral. Lineage: Eukaryota; Metazoa; Chordata; Aves; Passeriformes; Muscicapidae.